GAUGAACGCUGGCGGCGUGCCUAAUACAUGCAAGUCGAGCGAACAGACGAGGAGCUUGCUCCUCUGACGUUAGCGGCGGACGGGUGAGUAACACGUGGAUAACCUACCUAUAAGACUGGGAUAACUUCGGGAAACCGGAGCUAAUACCGGAUAAUAUAUUGAACCGCAUGGUUCAAUAGUGAAAGACGGUUUUGCUGUAUCUUAUAGAUGGAUCCGCGCCGCAUUAGCUAGUUGGUAAGGUAACGGCUUACCAAGGCAACGAUGCGUAGCCGACCUGAGAGGGUGAUCGGCCACACUGGAACUGAGACACGGUCCAGACUCCUACGGGAGGCAGCAGUAGGGAAUCUUCCGCAAUGGGCGAAAGCCUGACGGAGCAACGCCGCGUGAGUGAUGAAGGUCUUCGGAUCGUAAAACUCUGUUAUUAGGGAAGAACAAAUGUGUAAGUAACUAUGCACGUCUUGACGGUACCUAAUCAGAAAGCCACGGCUAACUACGUG
RNAcentral lists this ribosomal RNA (497 nucleotides) under uncultured bacterium. RNAcentral's name for it is "partial 16S ribosomal RNA". It matches the Rfam family "Bacterial small subunit ribosomal RNA", at positions 28 to 507 of the family's 1533-position model. The record is from RNAcentral.